This 717-nucleotide ribosomal RNA is filed under the name uncultured bacterium. RNAcentral describes it as "bacterial SSU rRNA". It matches the Rfam family "Bacterial small subunit ribosomal RNA", at positions 46 to 736 of the family's 1533-position model. The record is from RNAcentral.
GCUUACACAUGCAAGUCGUACGAGAACACCUUAGCUUGCUAGGGUAAGUAAAGUGGCGCACGGGUGAGUAACGCGUGGGUAAUCUUCCUUCGAAUUGGGGAUAACGUUGCGAAAGCGACGCUAAUACCGAAUAACAUCCAUUUAUCUUUGGAUUUUUGGAUCAAAGGUGGCCUCUACAGGUAAGCUACUGUUUGAAGAUGAGCCCGCGUACCAUUAGCUUGUUGGUGGGGUAAUGGCCUACCAAGGCAACGAUGGUUAGCUGGUCUGAGAGGAUGAUCAGCCACACUGGAACUGACACACGGUCCAGACUCCUACGGGAGGCAGCAGUGAGGAAUUUUGCGCAAUGGGCGAAAGCCUGACGCAGCAACGCCGCGUGAGUGAUGAAGGCCCUCGGGUCGUAAAGCUCUGUCAAGUGGGAAGAACCUGCAGUAUGUCAAUACCAUAUUGCAUUGACGGUACCACUGAAGGAAGCACCGGCUAACUCCGUGCCAGCAGCCGCGGUAAUACGGGGGGUGCAAGCGUUAUUCGGAAUCAUUGGGCGUAAAGGGCACGUAGGCGGCUUGGUAAGUCAGUUGUGAAAGCCCGGGGCUUAACCCCGGAAGUGCGAUUGAUACUGCCGAGCUUGAGUAUGGGAGAGGGAAGUGGAAUUCCUGGUGUAGAGGUGAAAUUCGUAGAUAUCAGGAGGAACACCGGUGGCGAAGGCGACUUCCUGGACCA